GGUUACAGAGGGUUGGGGCACCUCCUGAAACAAGUCCCUGCAGUGUCGGCCUCCACGCCCGCCUGGGUUUCAGGCACCUCUGUCCCCCGCCCCCACCAGAACUGUGACCACCCCUGUCCCAUCCCCCACCACUCACAGUUGUCAAAUCCUUUCCCGGCACAGCCCGGGGACGGGCUUGAGCGUGGGCGCUUCGGGGCUCUGUCGACACCCCACAUCCUCUUCCGCGGCAACAGGAGACCCUGGGAGCCUGCUCUGCAGGGCUUGGCCGUGGGGUGCACUGCCCAGGCCGAGCCGGGCUUUCUCGCCCGGGAAGUCGGUGUACAAUCCCAGGCAGCCUCAUUUCGCGGCGAGAGAAAGAGGGACGGUGACUUUUUUGGAGACAGGAGCUGGUCCAGAACGAAAGUGGGAUCUGACACUUCUCCCUGCCACUGACAAGACUGCGCCUCACUGGGAGAUUUUCCGCACUCUUGGCCCAAGCCUUGCCUCAUAAAGGGAUGGGGAUAAAUUGC
Long non-coding RNA from Physeter macrocephalus (sperm whale), 509 nucleotides. RefSeq lists it as uncharacterized. The record is from RefSeq and is a predicted model, not a curated record. The transcript is spliced from 3 exons. NCBI's taxonomy places the organism in Eukaryota, Metazoa, Chordata, Mammalia, Artiodactyla, Physeteridae.